UAACAUUUAUGUGUGUCAAUUGCAUCCUCACCAAUUAUCGUUUUUACAGAACGCAAAGUUUGAUUUCAUUUUUUUGCUCCUAAGUGUAUUAUUGUUGUUCUUUUUUUAAUGAAAUAAAAUGCACGACUAGAUUACCUCUAGGUACUUGCUCUUCAGUUAAAAACAAUUUUUUAUAACAAAUUAUGAGUUGUAGGUAUGACUUUGGCAUAGUAAAAUUGAACUCUACAACAGAAUUUGUAUAUUUAAUUGAUAUAAUUAAUUAGAUAUAUCAUUAAAUGUUACUUUUAUUACAUUUUCUUCACAAAUAUACAAUUAAAGUUCACAAUUCAUAAAAUCGGAGAAGAGAAGAACUCAGUUCUUACCCUGCAAACCAAACCUCAGUAGUUUAGGGGAAAUUACAACCACCAACAAAGUCUUUACUUUGUAGAUGUAUGUGUUUCCUUAUUUACCAAAAAUAUUGUAGUUUUGUUUCUCCUGAAAAAAUAAACUCUUUGGUAAAUGGGAGGAAAAGAGUGCGAUGUAUGCAAUGCUCAAGGUUUUCUCUCUUUUGUAAUGGCGGCUCGCCAUUUUCCUGCAUUUCUAGUGAAACCUUGAUAGCCACAGCAACAUAAGCUAAGCAAAAAAAAAACAUUUCUGUGCUCCAAAAUAAAACAAUUUAAUUUGAAAAAAUAAAUAUCGUCUUAAUCAGUGUUAUUUGUGAAAAUUAUUUUCAAUGCACAAUGUGUAGUAGCACAAAUUCUUCGGCACGCCACAAAAAUUCCACCACCAUUUCUUUCCAUCAUCAAAAUGCACAACCUCAGCCUUGUGCAUUUAGAAAAAUUAAAAUAAAAAAAAUGAUACAAAAACCACCACCCAUGGAUUUGGAAAAUAUAUAGUGGAGAUCAAUUCCAGACAUGAAUGACUGAGUUUACAGUUCGAAAUUUUCCUCCACGCCAUCCAGAACGAGUGAAACGAAUCUUAUGUUUAGUAGAGACUACAAUACUUGAGUGUGAUCCACAUUUCACAGACUUGUAGUGUCUGCACCCUCCGACCACUUGUUGAUGUGUUCGCUCUAAUCCUAGACAAAAACAACAUUCAACAAUUCUAUGUCGAGUAUAAAAAUGACGUCAGAGACUCCUUGCUCGCCACACUAUUGGAUGCAGUCCGUUCGAGUGACAAUCAAGAUGUGCAAGUUCGUAUUACAAAUACAUUGCGAGGAAAGCAUUUUGUUCCCCUCAACAGUUGUGUGCAUGAAGCGACUCUCCUUCGUUUAGUGAUAAAGAAUUUCCAAAAUUUCUGACGUAGAUGUAAGAUUUAAGAGAAAUUCAACGCCAACAUUCCUCAUAGAAGUCUGAAGUAAAGUGUCACACAAGACGUUCAUGUUUUGAUAUACAAUUCGAAUGAAUAAAUCUAAAUCUCUAACCAAAGUUUUAACUUCAGAGUUUAUUUGUAAUUUCAUUUGUAGUUUCAAAAGGUUUAGAUUUACUAGGAACAAACUACUUCUCUUCGUACAAAUUUCACCACUUAAUUACGUACUUCUAGAUUCAAGGAGCCAUAUGGAGUUUCAGUGGUUUUUAUGUAGCUAAAAAAGUACUGGAAAAUGUACAUCAGAAGCACUUCCAGAUGUGCUUCGCUGAUGUAGUUUUGAAGUACAUUUGUCUGUACUUUUAAUGGAGGGGAAAUUCAUUUCAUCUUGCAUGCAAGAAAGAGAUAGAUGCUUCACGUAUUCUUAUAUACAGAAAGUAUAUAACUGAGUUUUUUCCCGAACUCCUAUCUUUUUUCAGUGGAAAAGAAGUAUGUACUUCUUUUACGUACAUAUUUCCCCGGUUUUUUCUGUAGUUCUACGUCGAGCUGUCAGUUGAAAACUUCGAUGGAACGGACGCAACGGAUUCUAUGGGUUGGGCCCUAUAGAAUGACAUAUGGCUGUGUAAGUGUCAACAAUGACAUAUGUCGGUUAGCAGUUUAGUGUGUUUUCGUGGAUCGAUAAUACAGUUCAUCCAAGCGAGUUCACAGAUUGAAAUUUGAUUCGGUUGCGGAUCGAGUAGAUUCCCGGGGACUGAGUCACUGCGUCUUCUGUAAUAGGCAUGAUUGCCUUUUUAUGUGUACUGUGGUGCAAAAUUUAACUGAAAAAUUUAGCAACAACUGUGGUGAAUGACCCACCAAGUGUCCAUGGGUGCGUAAAUACGAAACACACAGAAACCUAGAAGGUCAUUCACCACACCUCGCAGCUUGAUGGCAAAAUUGAUUUGACAGCUCAGUCUUGGUAAAGUUUGUCGAACGCAUGCUAUAAAUCAUGUAAUUAGAGGCCAAUAGCCCUGUUCCAUUGGAUGUGGUAGUUUAUUCGUGAGUAGAAAUCUAGUACAACAACUACACAUUCGUAUAUCCUCGAGUACAUAGAGGAAGAAGUACAUAGAGUUCAUGCUCGAGUAGAAGAUCAUGCCCUGCAAACCAAACCUCAGUAGUUUAGGGGAAAUUACAACCACCAACAAAGUCUAUACUUUGUAGAUGUAUGUGUUUCCUUAUUUACCAAAAUCUCUCCCCUCAAAAUAUUGUAGUUUUGUUUCUCCUGAAAAAAAUAAACUCUUUGGUAAAUGGGCGGAAAAGAGCGCGAUGUAUGCAAUGCACAAAGUUUUGUCUCUUUUGUAAUGGAGGCUCGCGUUUGAUUUUACUUUUCCUGCAUUUUAUAUUUUCUAGUGAAACCUUGAUAGCCACAGCAACAUAUAUGUUAAGAAAAAAAAACAUUUCUGUGCUCCAUUUGAUAGAUAAAUAGAACAAUUUAACUUAAAAAAAAUAAAUAAUCUUCUCAAUGUUAUUUGUGAAAACAAUUUUCUAAAAAAAACAAUCUACCAACAUUUCCACCAUCAAAAUGCACAGCCUCAGCCUUGUGCAUUUAGAAAAAAAAAAAAAUCAUAAAAAAAUGACACAAAAACCACCACCAAUUGAUUUGGAAA
Molecule: long non-coding RNA, 2930 nt
Organism: Episyrphus balteatus (marmalade hoverfly)
Lineage: Eukaryota; Metazoa; Arthropoda; Insecta; Diptera; Syrphidae
Exons: 3
Source: RefSeq, a predicted model, not a curated record